ACUCCUACGGGAGGCAGCAGUUUCGAAUCAUUCACAAUGGGCGAAAGCCUGAUGGUGCGACGCCGCGUGAGGGAUGAAGGCCUUCGGGUUGUAAACCUCUGUCACUGGGGAAGAAACGCUAUGGUUUAAUAGACCAUAGCCUGACUUAACCCGGAGAGGAAGCAGUGGCUAACUGCUGUGCACAGCAGCCGCGGUAAU
This 198-nucleotide ribosomal RNA is filed under the name uncultured bacterium tbr4-119. Its description in RNAcentral is "partial 16S ribosomal RNA". It matches the Rfam family "Bacterial small subunit ribosomal RNA", at positions 335 to 524 of the family's 1533-position model. The record is from RNAcentral.